GCCGGUGAGAAGAUAAAACGGGGACCAAGACGAGAUUGAUGGCCAACAGCGCAGGCUGGCCUCGAAAUUUUGAGAUUUGAUCUUCUGAUGGCCGCCGCCGGUGCCCCAGCUCUUCUCACCGUCGUCUCUCAUCAUCUCUUCUCAGUGCCACGUGCUUCUAUCUCAAAAUCCUGCAGCUUGACGCGCUUCUCCUCAUCCGGAGCUUCGCCACUCACUUCUUCCUUCACGCCUGGCUUAGCUACUGUGAGUGUUGCCAAAACUGAAGGUUUCAGUGUCCUUUGUUGUCCACACAUUCCAAGCCCGGGCAAUUACAAGUCGUAGUUUCAAAAGUACUUCUUUAUCCCUAAAUGAAAGAUUGCUCGAUUUUCUCUCUUUUUAUGGUAUUUAUAGAGAUUGUGAAAAACCAAUUUUCAUGCAGAUUCCACCCUUGUACCUCAUUGCAGAAACAAUUUUAAAUGUUUUGUAGAGCUUGCUUAUGUAAUGGCCUUCUACUCAGCAUUUUGGAUUACAUCCAACAGAAGGAAGAUUAAUGAGCAAGAAAAAUCUAUUUCCAUAAGGUGUGAGCAGCGAACCAAGGAGAAUACUGGAUUGAAUGUAUGGCUGGGUCGGUUUGCUAUGGUCGGUUUUGCAACAGCUAUAACUGUCGAAAUAUCAACAGGGAAAGGACUUCUAGAGAAUUUUGGGUUUACAGCACCAAUUCCAACUCUAGCACUGGCUGCAACAGCAUUAGUUGGAGUUCUUUCUGCAUUCUUCAUCUUUCAGUCAGCCUCUCGAGAUUAAUCGCCGUCUUGUUUAAAGUUCAUUGACAUUCAUGCAAGCUGUAUUGCUAAUGUUACUGGACAAGCUCUAUAAGAAGUCUAUACAUUUGUGUUCCCGUUCAUUCUUUGAAUUUCAAUCAGUUUGGUUUCGACGCAUAUGUGGAGCAUGCGAGAAGUUUAACCUCAUCACCGUGAAAGUAUCGAUGAACAUCGACUGAUCUACACUGCAUUGUUGCGAAGCUACUUUAUGGUCCUGCAGACAUGAUUGACUCGCUCGGUCGUUGAACACUUCAAGUUCAUUUGCUUCUUGAAUUCUUGGUGAGAAUCCUAGCUUCCGACCAUGAGAAGAGGAGAUAGAAGAACCAAAUGAGGCCUCACUAUCGUGGAGCAAGUAUUUAGAGGAACAAAUAAAAUGAUAAUUUGAAUCAUAAUAAAGAUGAAUAUUCUAAAAAUCUGCCUCCAAGUAUGUAUAAAUUGUAUUAUGA
RNA transcript from Zingiber officinale, 1243 nucleotides. It is a transcript of the gene named stress enhanced protein 1, chloroplastic-like, with no coding region annotated. The transcript has 6 exons. The record is from RefSeq and is a predicted model, not a curated record. NCBI's taxonomy places the organism in Eukaryota, Viridiplantae, Streptophyta, Magnoliopsida, Zingiberales, Zingiberaceae.